Marmota monax (woodchuck) is the source of this 562-nucleotide non-coding RNA. NCBI's taxonomy places the organism in Eukaryota, Metazoa, Chordata, Mammalia, Rodentia, Sciuridae. The record is from the annotation of a RefSeq genome assembly.
CUCAGUGCCCCAGAGGCUCAGCCCCAGCGACCUUCCCACCCGCGGAUCCCUGUAGCUUUCCCCACCAGCCAUGCUCCUGCUGCUCCUGCCGGUGCUCGCGAUGGUUUUCACCCUGAGAGGAAGCGGAGCCCAGUCAGUGACCCAGCCUGACCGCCACGUCCUGGUCUCUGAAGGAGCCCCUCUGCAGCUGAGGUGCAGCUACUCAUCUUCUGUAUCACCCUAUCUCUUCUGGUACCAGCAACGCCCCAGCCAAGGCCUCCAGCUCCUCCUGAUGUACGUGUCAGGGGCCACCCUGGUGACAGGCAUCGAUGGUUUCCAGGCUGAACUUAGGAAGAAUGAAACUUCCUUCCACCUGAGGAAGCCCUCAGCCCAUUGGAGCGACUCAGCUGAGUACUUCUGUGCUCUGGGUGGCACAGUGCCUGGGGCUGCAGGGGGAACUGAGCACAAACCUCCUGACACAGGGACUUUCUGUGACACACAGGCUCAAGCUGGGGAGUUUUCAAUUUCUGUGCAGCCCAAGAUAGCAGGGUGGACUGAGCCCUUGGGAAUGUUUAUCACCUGA